UAUGCACAAAGUUGUUGCUAAUUUACAAGGUGUUAAUUUAUAAGGUGUUGAUAUCUAUUAACAAUCCAAGCUAAAUGAAUAGUGACACACAAGAGGUGUCACCACUCAAUUAGGCCACGUUUUGAGAAGCCAGAUGUAUGGCUUCUAUCAACCCACUUGCCACGCAUUCAGAAAAAACCCACCGCCUACUCCAUUGUUUAAAAACUCAUCGCACAUGAAAAAUAGGGUUUGAUAACCAGAGACUAGAGAAACUGAAGAGAUGGGAGACAAACCGUAGACUCUCCGGCGUCGAUACAGGGGAUCCGCCGCACAUCGCUCACCGACGUCGACAUGACAGAGGGGAUCCGCCGUGCGUGGCGGCUCUCUGGCGUCCACAACAGAAUGGAAAUGAACAGUUGUGCCUGCUGAAUCACAUGUCUACCACCGUUGUAUAUUCGCCGGUCUUCACCAACAACAGCGACACCAGUUGACAGUUACCGAGUUUUCAGGUAUGGGUUUUCUGGUGACGGGGAUGUCUCGCCGGAGAAGAUCGUUUUGAAUGUUUUCGUUCCCCGCGUUGUUUGAUAUCAAAGAUAGAUUCAAAUGAAUCUAAUUUUACAUAUAAAAAUAGGCACAUCAAGUAUUUGUAUAAAUGUUCGUGAAACAAACAAUGGUAAAACCCUAUCAAACACUUGCACAAGCACACCAAAAAUGAUUUAUUGUCGAUAUUGAAGGAUAUGUGAAUAAUCUCCGGUUCUUUGUGUGUUUUGCUGCUAUUAUUUAUGUAGGCUAGGGUUUUUAGCAAUUUUAAGAUUUCCGGUUUUCGUUUUGAUGUAAAUCUUGUGGUUCAAAUUUGCGGCAAUUUUGACCUAUAUAUGAAGUGUGUCAAAUGAAUGAAAGAUGAAUACCUAAAAGGGGAAUCAUUUGCCAGCCGAAUAAUAUAGUGUUGUUAAUUGUUAAAGGAUUUGUUUUCAUCAUAUUUUUCUUAAUAAUGUGUGUAGAUUGCUCUUCAUUUUGGGAGAUAUAUCAUUACCAUAAUGAGCACUAGAGUUGCUUUGUUAAUUGGCUUCAGUUGUCAGGACUGAUGAUCUAUUUUUUUACUUGCUAAAGAUUUUGUUUUUAAGCAAUAUUGACUAAUUAGCCCCUAAAAAUGUUGACUGAAGGUGGAGAUGGUCAAAUGAAUGAUUUAGUUUACAUUACAGUACAACCUUUGCAAUGAACCUUGGUAUACCCUUUUCUUUUCUCUUUCUUUUAUUGACCCGUUACAUAUUUACAGAUCUAUAUUCUUUCAGUAUCUCACGAUCUUGUCAACUAGGGGUGCGCAUAAACCGUUAAAUCCGACUAAAUUGCCCUGACCACAGUAAAUUUGCUGGUUCAGGCGAUUUAAAGAACUGAGUUUUGACGGUUCAGCUACGGUUUGGAACUUGGAACCAGUCAUUUAAUCUAUAUUAUUGUUACCUUUUCAUUUUUGGAGUAUGUAGUUAUGUAUAUGUAAUAUGUAUAAUAUUUAUGAACACUCUUUAUCGUUAUAAAAUAAUUUAAUACAAGCUAAAGGUCGUGGAAAAAUGGAAAAACCAUUCAAACCACUAAAACCGAGCCCUUUGCCUUUUUCGAAAACCGUAGUUUGCGGUUGGGCCCAGAAUUUUCAUCAAAAUAGGCCAAACUAGAGUGCACAAAUCGUUUUUUAGAACCUACAACUGGGUAGGAACGGGGUCCGGGUUUAGUCAACAAAGUCAAGAACUGGGUAGGGUAGGUCUGAAGAAGCCUGUAUUUACCUCUGCUCGAUUGAAAAAGGGUGAAGUUUUGUACCUGGAAAGUCCUACACAAAGGUUUGAGCUUUGUUUUAAUGGAGAGAAGAUGGUGAAGUCGGGAAAUGAAACGAAUACGAAUGGCGUUGACAGUGAUAAUAACAACAAUAACAAUAACAGUAAUAACAAUAUGAUGGAUGUAUUCAGAUGGUCUUUGUGUAAGAAGCCUCUUCCUCAGACGCUUAUGUGCUCCAUCGGCACCCCUUUGCCGCCUGAACAUCUAAAGGAAAGCGCUCCAGGGCCUUGAGGCGAUGCUUCAUGCACACAUGGGUCAAAAUUGCUUCACGCACCGGUCGAUGAUGGCUGUGAAUUAGUUGCCAGAGUUUUAUACUUAACUGAUGAUGUUGAAUAUUUCUUUGGAUGAGUGUAGCUUAUUGGGUCGAUUUGAUGUAUGACGGUGUUUGAUAUGCUGUUAUCCAGGGACGGUCAGGUGGUGUCAAAGUAACAUAAUUUAGAGUAAUUUUGCAGCUCAUUUCUCAAUCCGGUUGGCAUGCUUCAGUUAUGCUUCAUACUACACUUUAUCUAUGGUGUCGAGGCUUCUGUUUGUGGCGUUCUCACCGUUAUCGUCGUUCAGAUGUCAUCGUCAUCGGUCGUUUGGGUAAUUUAUUUAUGGUGUCUAGGCUUCUUUUGUAGCGUUCUUAUUUAUGAUUUCAUUACGUGCGAUGUCGAGGAUCAAGGCAAAUAUGAGAUUGCUGAUUCACAUAAAGAAGCUGAAAAGGUUGAUUUUAUCAUUUGGAAAUAAUGUCUAUUUAUAUACACGGGUGCAGGUGGUGUCUAUUUAUAUGAAUUAAAAUAAUUAGAUGAUAAAUAGUGUUAAUUGAGCAACUUUAAAGUGUUUUAGGAAAGGGAUGAGUACUUGUCAUACAAAGAGACCUGGGAUUGCAAGCUAGAGUUGUUGGUGAAUUGCUCCAACCUGGUGGCCACAUAUAAUUGAUGCAACUGGAUUUAGAAGAUUGUGUAGAGAACAUAGAUGCUCAAAAGGAGAUGUUUUUACAAUGGCGAUUUGUCCAGCGGAUUACAGUUGCAUUCUGUAACGGAAUAUACAAAAACGAACUGCCACAAAAUUUUAUGCGAUUCAACGCUUAUUGUGUAGAAUAUAAGAGCAAAUGAUGUUUUUAAUUAGAUCACAUAAUGUAAACCACCACUACAAGAACAAUCUUCAAUGAUUUAGCAAUUCAAUUGACUUGAAUGGUUUUCCGAAGCAAAA
Molecule: long non-coding RNA, 2994 nt
Organism: Helianthus annuus (common sunflower)
Lineage: Eukaryota; Viridiplantae; Streptophyta; Magnoliopsida; Asterales; Asteraceae
Exons: 7
Source: RefSeq, a predicted model, not a curated record